CAGCAGCCGCGGGAAUACAGAGGGUGCGAGCGUUAAUCGGAAUUACUGGGCGUAAAGCGCACGUAGGCGGAUACUUAAGUCAGGGGUGAAAUCCCGGGGCUCAACCCCGGAACUGCCUUUGAUACUGGGUAUCUUGAGUCCGGAAGAGGUGAGUGGAAUUCCGAGUGUAGAGGUGAAAUUCGUAGAUAUUCGGAAGGACACCAGUGGCGAAGGCGGCUUACUGGCUCAUACUGGACGCUGAGGUGCGAAAGCGUGGGGAGCAAACAGGAUUAGAUACCCCCGUAGUCCCUGUCUCUUAUAC
This 301-nucleotide ribosomal RNA is filed under the name uncultured bacterium. RNAcentral's name for it is "partial 16S ribosomal RNA". It matches the Rfam family "Bacterial small subunit ribosomal RNA", at positions 509 to 807 of the family's 1533-position model. The record is from RNAcentral.